Molecule: ribosomal RNA, 499 nt
Filed under: uncultured bacterium
Lineage: Bacteria
Description: partial 16S ribosomal RNA
Rfam family: Bacterial small subunit ribosomal RNA
Source: RNAcentral
GACGAACGCUGGCGGCGUGCCUAAUACAUGCAAGUCGAGCGAAGUUUUUCUGGUGCUUGCACUAGAAAAACUUAGCGGCGAACGGGUGAGUCACACGUAAAGAACCUGCCUCAUAGACUGGGACAACUAUUGGAAACGAUAGCUAAUACCGGAUAACAGUAUUUCUCGCAUGAGAGAUAUUUAAAAGUUGGUUAUGCUAACACUAUGAGAUGGCUUUGCGGUGCAUUAGCUAGUUGGUGGGGUAAAGGCCCACCAAGGCGACGAUGCAUAGCCGACCUGAGAGGGUGAUCGGCCACACUGGGACGGAGACACGGCCCAGACUCCUACGGGAGGCAGCAGUAGGGAAUCUUCCGCAAUGGGCGAAAGCCUGACGGAGCAACGCCGCGUGAGUGAAGAAGGAUUUCGGUUCGUAAAGCUCUGUUGUUAGGGAAGAAUGGAUAUGUAGUAACUAUACAUGUAAGAGACGGUACCUAACCAGAAAGCCACGGCUAACUACGUG